UUCUCCACUAGAUGGCGCUGCUUAGCUUACCAGGUUGGAUCGUCCUAGUGCUUGUAGAUGCGUAUGCGCAUGCGCUGGAGCGUGAACAUGGUGUCACCCAGGUAUUCAGUCUCUAAUAUCAGAACUCUUUUCUCCCUGAUCAGCAGUCACGCACCCAUCCUUUGUCUUCGGCUUCCAUCCACUCCCCGCUUUUACAAGAUCCGUGACCAAGCCCCAGGUAGCACAUCCCUCCUGAGUUUUGUCUCAGAUGCGGCUGUUUUUCCCGACCCCUUAUUUCUGAAGGACUGCGGCUUUGACCUGAUCUGCCCGUCUGGGGGAGGGUCUCACCGAGCAAUGGCCGGGUGCCGGCCGCUCCCAGGAAUGCUCGCGGGCUGUGCUGCUGCCGACGCCCAGAGACCGCGGCCGGGUGCGAGCCCGCCCCGGAAAAAGUUUGUGACACAGUGUAGCAGCAGCGCCUCAGGGAUUAUGGAAAAUCACGACACGCAUCUGGUAUCCGGCUUCGCCCUUAAUGACCUUGUUCCAGGACCAGGGAAUGUGGUUAUUCUCCCGGGUCCGCUGGAGCCUUGCCUCUGGGGGCUCACACAGCCUCUACCAGGUGUACCCCCAGCAGGGGAACCGCUUCUCCCCUGUGUCCUGAAGAACCCCUGACUCCACUCUGCUCCGGGGGAUUCGCCCUUCUCACCAGAGCACCGCCAGUGGGGAAACUGAGCAGUCACUAAGCAGUAGAUGACCAAUAAAGGGGUUGAAGCAAGAAAUUCAAGGAGAUUCCUGGCAUUAGAUAAAACCUCUACUCUGGAUCUUGAGAGAACCAUAUCAUGGGAGGCCAGCAUCCUGCUUAUAGAUGUUCUUGAAUGCUGUUGAAAAGCCUGUUAAAUUAAAUAUAUAGACCCUUGGCAACAAGGGAUUGCUAUGAAUUUGACUGUUACCUGUAGUGUGUCAAGAAAUACUUUGUGAUGUUUUCCUCAACAAUUACAAAGAAAAUAAAUUGAAAUUAAUUAUUUUUAGUUGACUAACUUUAUGGCAAUAUGCAUAUACUUUGGAGCUUGUGGAUGUUGGGAAAACAAGCCUUCAUUGAAGAGGAAAUUGCAUGGGAAGACUUGAAAGAGGAGAACUCACAAACACAAGUGAGAGAUGUUUUGACAGGAAUGGGAAUAUCAAAGGCUGAAUUGGCCCUUAAAUUGCAUUCAUUAAGUGUUGUAUGUUUUUGUUUUUUGUUUUUUUUUGUUUUUCAUUUUGUUUUUUUUUAGGUUUAUUAAGA
Long non-coding RNA from Felis catus (domestic cat), 1258 nucleotides. RefSeq lists it as uncharacterized. Lineage: Eukaryota; Metazoa; Chordata; Mammalia; Carnivora; Felidae. The transcript is spliced from 3 exons. The record is from RefSeq and is a predicted model, not a curated record.